UACGUAGGGUGCAAGCGUUAAUCGGAAUUACUGGGCGUAAAGCGUGCGCAGGCGGCUUUGCAAGACAGAUGUGAAAUCCCCGGGCUUAACCUGGGAACUGCAUUUGUGACUGCAUGGCUAGAGUGCGGCAGAGGGGGAUGGAAUUCCGCGUGUAGCAGUGAAAUGCGUAGAUAUGCGGAGGAACACCGAUGGCGAAGGCAAUCCCCUGGGCCAGUACUGACGCUGAGGUGCGAAAGCGUGGGGAGCAAACAGG
RNAcentral lists this ribosomal RNA (253 nucleotides) under uncultured bacterium. RNAcentral's name for it is "partial 16S ribosomal RNA". It matches the Rfam family "Bacterial small subunit ribosomal RNA", at positions 524 to 776 of the family's 1533-position model. The record is from RNAcentral.